This 497-nucleotide ribosomal RNA is filed under the name uncultured bacterium. RNAcentral's name for it is "partial 16S ribosomal RNA". It matches the Rfam family "Bacterial small subunit ribosomal RNA", at positions 30 to 523 of the family's 1533-position model. The record is from RNAcentral.
AUUGAACGCUGGCGGCAUGCCUUACACAUGCAAGUCGAACGGUAACAGGUCUUCGGAUGCUGACGAGUGGCGAACGGGUGAGUAAUACAUCGGAACGUGCCUAGUAGUGGGGGAUAACUACUCGAAAGAGUGGCUAAUACCGCAUGAGAUCUACGGAUGAAAGCGGGGGAUCGCAAGACCUUGUGCUACUAGAGCGGCCGAUGGCAGAUUAGGUAGUUGGUGGGAUAAAAGCUUACCAAGCCGACGAUCUGUAGCUGGUCUGAGAGGACGAUCAGCCACACUGGGACUAAGGCACGGCCCAGACUCCUACGGGAGGCAGCAGUGGGGAAUUUUGGACAAUGGGCGCAAGCCUGAUCCAGCAAUGCCGCGUGCAGGAUGAAGGCCUUCGGGUUGUAAACUGCUUUUGUACGGAACGAAAAGCCCCGGGUUAAUACCUGGGGUCAUGACGGUACCGUAAGAAUAAGCACCGGCUAACUACGUGCCAGCAGCCGCGGUAA